CUGAGAAGAAAGCCAAUGGUGUGGCUUAAAGAUGUAAGUUCUAGAACUGUUGUAUUGUGAGAAAUCCAACCUGAGGAUAAAGAUGACGUAUAGUUGAGGAUGGAGUGGACAGAAUUGUAUAGAAAUGGAGCUACAGGUCUAUGAACAUGAUAACCAUGCAUAAGUCAAACGAUGCCAGAAGAUCUUCCUCCAGGGAAGCCUCCCCACUUCCCUCUCCCACUGCUUGGCUUGACAUUCUCCUAAGAAGAGGAGAGCCCUCAAGACCACUGCUGAGGCCAAGAAUUUCAUCCUUCUAUUUCUAUCCUUUCUUAUUUCCACUUAGUCACCUUAGAAACAAAAGAAAUCAUCCGCAUUCUGCAAAGAUCCUACCGCUCCUGCACAAAGUAAAAUGUCCGAAGCGGAUAAAAUGGCAUAUAUGAAAGAUCAUCCAGUAGACUGUUUUAUUUCCUUGGAAAGCCUUCACAUUUUAAACAAAGUCAUUUAUUAUCUCUCGUAUUCUAAUUGCCCAAUUACAACCUUUAUUCAAGCAUUACACUCCUUAUGAUGAAAUGGAUCCCUCACAGCCCUGUCCAUGAUUCUCAUACAAUAAGUUGAGAUAAAAGCCUGCUUGGAAACUUGUGUUAGUCACAUAAUUAAGUCAACCAGUGGAAGCGUAACAAGGCUCUCAGAAAGAGCUCUCAGACUGGAUGUUCCUACGGCUCCAUCUGACAAUGUCGUGUGCUAUCCACACAUUUAAAACUCAUAAUGGCUUUCAAUUCACUUGUCUUCAGAUUCUUCAGCUUCCAUCUUCCAGAGGAAAAAAAAAAGACCGAUAAAUUCAAAACGUGUUGUGCUGAGCACUUUUUUCCAUUAAUGUUUAAA
Molecule: long non-coding RNA, 861 nt
Filed under: Vulpes vulpes (red fox)
Lineage: Eukaryota; Metazoa; Chordata; Mammalia; Carnivora; Canidae
Description: lncRNA (ENSVVUG00000030173.1)
Source: RNAcentral